RNAcentral lists this long non-coding RNA (234 nucleotides) under Mytilus galloprovincialis (Mediterranean mussel). Lineage: Eukaryota; Metazoa; Mollusca; Bivalvia; Mytilida; Mytilidae. The record is from RNAcentral.
UUGUGUGUGAUAACUAGGGUUUAUAAUCUUCAACCACUGAACAUUUUUAGUCUGCCCUUCCACGAAAUAUUUAAUUAGAAUUUUGUUAAAUGUUUAAGAAUUUUCUAAAAUUCCACCUAACAACCGAUCAAACAAUAGUUUUAAAUUGAAUCAAUGCAGACAAGAUCAUUAACUGAUGCUCAUUAGCUAGUAGAUACAUUUGUCUUUUAAAAUACAACUGACAUAUAAGGAUCG